CCUACGGGGAGCAGCAGUGAGGAAUAUUGGUCAAUGGACGCAAGUCUGAACCAGCCAUGCCGCGUGCAGGAAGACGGCUCUAUGAGUUGUAAACUGCUUUUGUACGAGGGUAAACGCAGAUACGCGUAUCUGUCUGAAAGUAUCGUACGAAUAAGGAUCGGCUAACUCCGUGCCAGCAGCCGCGGUAAUACGGAGGAUUCAAGCGUUAUCCGGAUUUAUUGGGUUUAAAGGGUGCGUAGGCGGUCGGAUAAGUUAGAGGUGAAAUCCCGAGGCUCAACUUCGGAAUUGCCUCUGAUACUGUUCGGCUAGCGCGUAGUUGCGGUAGGCUGAAUGUCUGGUGUAGCGG
RNAcentral lists this ribosomal RNA (346 nucleotides) under uncultured bacterium. RNAcentral's name for it is "partial 16S ribosomal RNA". It matches the Rfam family "Bacterial small subunit ribosomal RNA", at positions 338 to 681 of the family's 1533-position model. The record is from RNAcentral.